AAAUGAGUACUCUAUCAAAUAGAUUAGUGAUUACUCAUAGUUAUGUAUAGUAUGUAUAUAAAAACAUGACUUCAUUAAUUAUUUGUUAUCAUUUUAUAAUUUUAUAAUAUUAUAUAAGAUUAUAUAUGAUGAUCAUUAUAUGACUGAUGAGUAGAAUGAACUUAUAUAAAUUCAAUAUUUUUAUUGUUAUAAAAUAAACUACGAUAACCUGUUUAAUAACAAAUAACAUAGGUUAUUACGUAUUAGUUUAAAAUUUUAUAUUAUGAUCAAUAUACAAAAAAAUUAAAGAAGAUUGAAUUCAAAAUAAAAACUGGAUAAUAAAACAAGUCAAACAAAAGGGUGGCGAACUGGCGACGGAUGUCGGGAGUGACCACUCACGAAAUUUCUCUAAAAGCUGUGCGUCCCAUUCUACCCCCCC
Aphis gossypii (cotton aphid) is the source of this 418-nucleotide long non-coding RNA. RefSeq lists it as uncharacterized. NCBI's taxonomy places the organism in Eukaryota, Metazoa, Arthropoda, Insecta, Hemiptera, Aphididae. The record is from RefSeq and is a predicted model, not a curated record. The transcript is spliced from 2 exons.